UGGGGAAUAUUGGACAAUGGGGGCAACCCUGAUCCAGCCAUGCCGCGUGUGUGAAGAAGGCCUUCGGGUUGUAAAGCACUUUAAGUGGGGAGGAAGGGGUGAUUAUUAAUACUAAUCAUCAUUGACGCUACCCACAGAAUAAGCACCGGCUAACUCUGUGCCAGCAGCCGCGGUAAUACAGAGGGUGCAAGCGUUAAUCGGAAUUACUGGGCGUAAAGCGCGCGUAGGCGGCUGAUUAAGUCGGAUGUGAAAGCCCCGGGCUCAACCUGGGAACUGCAUUCGAUACUGAUCGGCUAGAGUAUGAGAGAGGGAGGUAGAAUUCCACGUGUAGCGGUGAAAUGCGUAGAUAUGUGGAGGAAUACCGGUGGCGAAGGCGGCCUCCUGGCUUAAUACUGACGCUGAGGUGCGAAAGCGUGGGGAGCAAACAG
RNAcentral lists this ribosomal RNA (428 nucleotides) under uncultured bacterium. Its description in RNAcentral is "bacterial SSU rRNA". It matches the Rfam family "Bacterial small subunit ribosomal RNA", at positions 355 to 775 of the family's 1533-position model. The record is from RNAcentral.